This 468-nucleotide ribosomal RNA is filed under the name uncultured bacterium. RNAcentral's name for it is "partial 16S ribosomal RNA". It matches the Rfam family "Bacterial small subunit ribosomal RNA", at positions 28 to 507 of the family's 1533-position model. The record is from RNAcentral.
GACGAACGCUGGCGGCGUGCUUAACACAUGCAAGUCGAACGGAAAGGCCCUGCUUUUGUGGGGUGCUCGAGUGGCGAACGGGUGAGUAACACGUGAGUAACCUGCCCUUGACUUUGGGAUAACUUCAGGAAACUGGGGCUAAUACCGGAUAGGAGCUCCUGCUGCAUGGUGGGGGUUGGAAAGUUUCGGCGGUUGGGGGUGGACUCGCGGCUUAUCAGCUUGUUGGUGGGGUAGUGGCUUACCAAGGCUUUGACGGAUAGCUGGCUUGAGAGGGUGACCGGCCACAUUGGGACUGAGAUACGGCACAGACUCAUACGGGAGGCAGCAGUGGGGAAUAUUGCACAAUGGGCGGAAGCCUGAUGCAGCAACGCCGCGUGCGGGAUGACGGCCUUCGGGUUGUAAACCGCUUUCGCCUGUGACGAAGCGUGAGUGACGGUAAUGGGUAAAGAAGCACCGGCUAACUACGUG